RNAcentral lists this long non-coding RNA (1289 nucleotides) under Chrysemys picta bellii (western painted turtle). RNAcentral's name for it is "lncRNA (ENSCPBG00000025066.1)". The record is from RNAcentral. Lineage: Eukaryota; Metazoa; Chordata; Testudines; Emydidae.
AAAUGAGUGGUAAAGAGAUUAAAUUAAAUUCAUUCAUUAAAUAUGAAGACAGGGUAGGUACAUUUUAUGUGUAAAUUAUUCAGGGCAUUUUAACUGGUAAGAUCUUCAACUAGUGUAGACAGACAGGUCCAGUGUAGUCAAUGUAGCUUACUGAUUUUCACCGGCUCGGGCUGGCUAUCAGUUUGGACAUAUGUAUAUGCAACACACCACACAUACAGAGAGAGAGGAGAGAAAAUAUCUCAUAUCUUUACUUCAGCGGUAGAGCUUCUGAAAAUGUCUUAGUAGCAUAAAAACGAUAGGAUUAUAGUUUUUCAUAAUAGAUGAUGAUCCAUUAUGAUCAUGGAUGAUCAUAGCCCGCUCUGUCUAUAGACCCGGCUGAUUAACCAUAGCUGAAGUUUGUGUUCCUCCGCCCAUUGGCCGACUUUUGAAAGAAAGUGCUUACAAAGAGAGCCCCUCAAACACAUCGUUUCACCAACACAAGCGCAUACUUGAUGUGAAACGAACUUUUCACAGAGCUACUUUUACUGUGGCAACAAAAGAAAUCUCCCCCAUACAUUUCCCCAAAUGCCUUCCUCCAGUGAUUACUGAAACAGAGCAUGGGAAUGACCAGAGGUGUUCUCUUGCGCGCUGAGUGAAGGGAUUGUGGCUGCCAUCCCAAGAUCCAGCCUUGACUUUAGCGCUUACAGCCGAGAUCUGUCGGUAUACACCUCGGCCUGAUGUUAACGUGUGAAAGAGUUAAUGGUGUAUUGGAGUUCGUACUUCCACAUACCACAAAGGUAGUGAUCCACAUUCCUGCUGCCUCUGAAGUAAGAAUUGGAAUAGACAAUACAGGUAAAAAUCUCCUAAGUGCCAUUACAAAAGAGACUUUAGGCACUCAGGAAUCUACAUUUCAUUGAUAUAUAAACUUAGCUUCCUAAAAGUCCUGCUUGAAAUUGGGACUUAGGCUCCUAAGUAAUUGAGGCACUUUUGAAAAUGUUGCCCUGUCUUUUAAUUUCUUUUCUAUGAAGCAUAUUGUUUAAGUCAAAGAACAGAUUUAAAUUUUUUGUUAAAGUUAAUGUUGAAAAAUUAAUUAGUACACAGGUCAAAAAAAAAGUGUCUGUACAUCUGGGUAUAGUGCUUAGAUUAUCCACAAAUAUACAGUUUGUUUUAAAAGUCAUAAGAUACUGUGGCAAAGCUCCAACCUUUUCUCCAUGGGUCCCGCGCUUCCAGGCAGUUUAUGCUAGCCUCAGAGGCUCACUGCGACCCUCCAUGUAUCCCUUCUCUCUCUCUAGGGCCAGGGUUACAGUCUA